RNAcentral lists this non-coding RNA (45 nucleotides) under Schistosoma margrebowiei. Lineage: Eukaryota; Metazoa; Platyhelminthes; Trematoda; Strigeidida; Schistosomatidae. The record is from RNAcentral.
AUCCAGCUGACGAGUUCAAAACAGGACGAAACGCGCGUCCUGGAU